AGACCCAGGUUUGUUUCGUUUAAAGGAGGAUGCAAUUCUGUCCGUGAAUGCAUUUUCUCUAAAUGUUGGCUUCAUCCCUCCUUUGGUAGAGCAUGUCAACGGAUUUGCUAAUGUGAGUUGCUUUCAGACUAGUCUGUGGUUUUUCUUUUUUAUUUCUUUCCUCCCCUUUGGGCAUUUUUUUUUUUUCUGCUUCAAAAAAGGAGAUAAUUCUUUCUACAAGUAUCUGGUAAAAGAAAUUCCUCUAGGUCCUCUUUUUAAAAAGCGUUUGCCUAAGUCGGGUUAUCUUUUGUCUUUAUCACUUCAUAAAGUAGAGCAAUUAAAGAUGUGAUGUUGCAUGGGCGGAAAGGGUGGAUCCAUUAUACGGCGACAUAAUACGCUAUAUUCUCGCCUGAAAGUUUGAAGCUAAAUUACGAUUUCGCUUUUUCUAGACUUAAAAAUCAAUAUUUUCUCAAUUAAAGCGAAUUUUAAUGCUUUACUUGCGAGUUGUUAAAGGCGCUGUAAAUUGUAUUGUAAUGCUCUUGACUUCGGAGUAGAUGCAGGAGACGGGUUGAUUCUCGUGGUCUUUUUCCUCUCGAGGAACCUAGCCCAGGAACAUCCCAUGGUUUCAUAUCAAAUUGAAGCAACAAAGGGCAAAGAAGGGAAAACAGAAGCAAAGAAAACUGUUUCAAAAGUCUUGGAAUUGCUACUGUUAAAAGGCUGCGGUUCAUUUCUGAUUUCCUCAUCUUUUGCUACAAAGGAAAAAGAAAUCCAAUGAUGUGUCUACCUUUGGUGAGAAGAAAACACGAGCAACAGCAGUGUAGGCAGAAACUGCAGGCUGUUCAGAAUCCAAUUCUCUGGAUAUUGGCAUGCUACAUUCAAUGUCCAGCUACAUUAAGUGUCCAUCUAUCAAAAUACUAG
RNAcentral lists this long non-coding RNA (897 nucleotides) under Homo sapiens (human). RNAcentral's name for it is "non-protein coding lnc-MEIS2-1:7". The record is from RNAcentral. Lineage: Eukaryota; Metazoa; Chordata; Mammalia; Primates; Hominidae.